This 625-nucleotide long non-coding RNA is filed under the name Androctonus crassicauda. Lineage: Eukaryota; Metazoa; Arthropoda; Arachnida; Scorpiones; Buthidae. The record is from RNAcentral.
AGAGAAUACAGAAUUCGAAUCAGAUGUAGAGUGAUUUCUCUCAUUUCAAAAUCUCUGAUUUGUAAAAAUAAAAAAAUAAAACAGAGAAAGGAAUUUGAGGGGAGAGUGACAUCUAAGGUGGAGAAAAAAAUAAAAAAUAAAUAUUGUGCCAUCUUAUGAAGAGAUUUCUAUCUAGAGUCAAUAACAGCACUUUAAGCAAGAUUUCUAUCUCCUACAGCGUUAAAUAUUGAAAUAACAAAAAUAAAGAAGAGAUAAGAUGAAAUGGAAAGGAAAGGUUUUAUUAUACUCAGGUGUUGUAGGAAUUUGAGAAGGGGAAAGACAAUAAUUAAUAAACAAAAAAACUGUCCUCCUGGGAAAAGUGAACAAAAGAGUAAAAUAGAAGAAAAAAAAAUCAAAAAGAGAACACACAGUAAUCAGUUGAUUUGUGUCUUUAUUGAGAAACAAAAAGUAUUGGUGUUCUUAUAAUUUGUUUUAAAACAAGUUCAACUCACGUAUGAUGGUUGAUUUACCUUGAUGUUGAGGAAAAAUGAUCAUAAGGCUAGAUGAAAUAAAACAUUUCAGUACUAUAGGGUAAUUCCAGCCCAAGUGAUCAAAGUGUCCAUACUCAUUAGUUUCAAUUUUGCUG